Molecule: long non-coding RNA, 10915 nt
Filed under: Phoenix dactylifera (date palm)
Lineage: Eukaryota; Viridiplantae; Streptophyta; Magnoliopsida; Arecales; Arecaceae
Description: long non-coding RNA (PDAC_LNC007692)
Source: RNAcentral
GAUUUGGCCUAUGAGCUCUCGAGCUUCCUUCCCGAAGAGGAGAAAUCUCCUUCUUUUAUAGCCUCUGUCGACCCCUGUUAUCUCAUCACGUCGUGGGAAGAUAAGGGCCAAGAAACUGACACGGGCGAGACGCGUAGCAGAUUUAAUCCGGGCGUUGGGAUUAUAGUCUGGAAACUGAUUUCGUUGAAGAAGUCGGUUGCUCCCUUGGAUGCAGAGGAUGGCGAAGACGUGGAUGUUGAGAGGAUCUCAGACGCUGCUAGCUCAUGGGAUGAGUGGAAGAAAUCGCCACUUCUUCAACGCGUGGGAGGAGAUCUUGGAUGCGGCUGGCAGCUGGGAGUUGACCGCGGAUGAGAUGAAGGCUGGCUUGGGCUUAUCCAUGGGUGAUGGAAAGCUAGAUUCAGUUGGGAACAGGGGAGCUGGAAUGGAUGCGGAUGGAACGCGGAGGUGGUUGAAUGCUGUCACUGGGUUGAAUCACGGGAGGGGUUUGGAUUCGGCUGGGAUUUUUUUCGAAACAGGGGAGGAGCACGUGAAGCUCGGAUGCUGGGAACAAACGCGUAGGUUGGCUUGAUCCGAGGAUGCAGAUGAUGGCGUGGAUGUUGAGAAUAUCCUGGUUCUGUUCCCGUGGCUGGGGUCAAUCUGAAUGCUGGGAAGGCGUUGGAUUUGGUUUGGAAGAAGAUAAGGAUGAUAGUUUCGAAGCAGGGGAUGGCUGGGAGUUAAUCCGGAAGGGGAGUUCUAAUCCGUGGAUGCUAGAGAUCAAGCUGGUUUGGAUUUGGAAGAGAAAAUAUGGAAUACAUGCUGUGACACAAGUGGAUCUCAUCCGGAAGUUGGGGAAGAUGGAAUGAACGAGCUGGCUCUGUUUUGCAAGCUGGGAUGUUGGGAUCUCUUGCAUGCAUCACUGGAGGAUUGGGCAUGGCGGACGGCUGGGAGGCUUGGGAUUUGAAGGUUGGCAGCUGAGAUAUAACGGAGCAGGGGAUGCGGAAGGGAUUGAUCGAAAUAUGAAGCUUGGGACUCGGCUUGAUUCGAACGGGUGAAGAAAUCAGGGGAGAGAAGUUGGGAUCUCGGCUGACAGCUGGGAACGGAUGCAAGGCUGGAAGAUGAACACGGAGUUCGGGAGGAUGAAGCAGCUGGCAUCAAGGGAUUUUGUUUGGACACGGGAUGAAGAAUGCCUGGUGAGGUGAAGGAAGAUUUGAUGGCUGGGAGUGGUUUCUGGGAUGCGACGUUCACGGAGGAGAAUAUCAUGGGAGAGACGUUGGGAGGAUCAACGUGGAGGAGAUGACGGAGAACAGGGGAUGUUUCGAUUCUGGAUGAAUGUCGUGGAACAAGGGAGUUGGAAAGGAUUCGUAAAAUCUGGGACUUGGAAUUCGAUCAAACGCGGACGCUGGGAUGUUUGGUAGAGAGACGUGGAGGGAAUGUGAAGGGAUGGAUGGAUGACGUGGGAAGAAGGGGAGGGGACUCAAUUUGGGAUGCACGGAGAUUCGUGAAAGGAAUUUGUUCGGGAUGAGCUCAACGACCGAAUCAGAAUUUGAGAGGAUUUAAUUUGCGGGGUGCAUACGAUUUGGGUUCAGGGAUCAUCCCAAAUAAGUUUGACUUGACCUGCAUUCAUUAAGCUUAAUCAGUAAAUAAGUAAAACUCGAAUAAUUUAUUAAAAUGCAAUAAUGAAGAUAACACAUUUUUUAGUUGAAUUUACAAAAUAUGUGAAUUAAAAUAAUGAUAAGUGCUAUGAAUAAUAUAUUAAUUUAUGCUUUAUUUAGCACUUAUCACACCCCCAAACCUACCUUUUGCUAGUCCUCAAGUAAAAUAAAAAAAACUAACUCACUUUCGCAGGAAUCGCGAUUGCAUUUACCGUAUGCAAUAAGGCUUUAAACCCCUAGGUGGCCCUUGUGGACGAAUUUUGUCUCGUGAGGAUUUUCGGCUCAGAUACCCACAAACUGCUGUCCCUACCUAAAGAAUUUAUUUUACUAUUUUAUGAAAUCUGAUUUCAAAUGCAUAAGUACCAAUAAUUUCAAAAGCACACAAAAUUUUAAUUACUAAGUCAACCCAAAUCCUAGGUCAAGAUGCAACUUAAGUUGAAGUUAUUAAGUUUCCGUUAGAGAGUUGUAAGACUUAUUUAUACUUGGAUGCUCGGUGAUAUCUGGGCCAUACACAAGCUAAGACUUUAGAUCCCCAAAAUACUGCUAAAGCUAGUAGUUUCCAAGAAUUGGUCAGAUAAGACCUAACCACUGAUUCAAAAUCAUCCUAUCUUGCAGGAUUUCGAGAGUUGUAGAUAUUUACUUUAAUACCUUAUGGGCUUUAUCUGUAAUAUUCCAGUUUACUCGAAUUUUUACAACGACGGCUUUCACACUAUUAUCUUUUUCAAGAUCAAUAUUAUUUUCUCUUUCUUUUUUUUGUAUAAAUAAAUUAUGCACUUUUACUCUUGUAAUGAUUCCUCCGUGUAGCGAGCAUUCAGUCAGCACUCCCACACCAGAUGGCAUAAGGUGUUGGGCAUCAAGACUCCCCUACGGACCUAUGCUCGGGUUCAUCAUCACAAGCCCGCCGACCUUUGACAAUAGGUAGCCCUUUUCGAUGUACCUGACUAAAUUCACUUCUUUUUUUAAAAAAAUAAAUAAAUAUGGGAUAAUAGUGAAUUAGAUAGGUAUGAUUCAUCAGGACUCAAGGUUGCUACCAGACUUAAUCAACAUAAUGUUGAACCUAACCCUUAGAAGUGCAGGCCAUGUGUGUUGUGAAAUUCCAAAGUAAAAAUUAUCUUACAACUCGCUAAAAGAACUUUUAAUAAAAAGAACUCAAAUUGUCUUACUCCUGAAUAGUCAUUGGGCUUUUUUAGAUUUUAUAUACUUCGUGUGUUUAUCAUGUCAGCACUAAGGCAUAGAAAUUAGGUUUUUUUUUUUUGAAAAAUGUCUUCAAAAAAUGCGAAAAUGCGAAAAAUUUCUUCAAAAAUUUGAAUCCUAUACCCCUCAACCUAGAUCAGACAUUGUCCUCAAUGUUUUUUUUUAAUAUUAUAUUAUUAUAAUUUUUUUUCGUUAUUUUAUUUUGGACGAAAAUAUGAUGCAUAUGGAGGAUAGAAGCAUUGUACCUUAGUUGCAUCAGUAAUAUGAGGACAUCUGAAAAAAUGCGACAAGAAAAUGUACAAAAAUAACCUAUGAAAAUUGGGUUGCCUCCCAACAAGCGCUAAGUUUAACGUCUUCAGCCAGACGCAGUGCAUCCUUAAUUAUCCCAAUAAAUAGGAUCCAUUAAAUCAAGGAAUUCAAUCAACUGUCCAUCUGCAACACACUAUAUGUAAGGUUUUAAUCUUUGACCAUUGACGUUCAGGACACGACCAUCACUAAUGUUCUAAAUUUCUACCGCACCAUGAGGAAAAACCUUCCUAACUAAAAAGGGACCAUCCCACCUAGAGCAAAGUUUACCAGGGAAGAGACGCAAUUUAGAAUUGAAUAGCCAAAUCUUUUGAUUAGGCUCGAAAGACUUACGGUUAAUGGAUUUGUCAUGAAAAGCCUUAGUCCUUGCCUUGUAAAUUUUGGCAUUUUCAUAUGCCUCAUUGCGUAACUCUUCGAGCUCGUUGAGUUGAAGUUUCCGGUUAGAACCAGCUGCUGCCAUAUCAAAGUUAAACUUUUUAAUGGCCCAAAAAGCUCUAUGCUCAAGUUCUAUGGGUAAGUGGCAAGCUUUUCCAAAAAUCAGUCGAUAAGGAGACAUGCCAAUAGGAGUCUUAUAGGCAGUACGAUAAGCCCAGAGAGAAUCGUUUAAUCUUUGAAACCAAUCUUUCCUAUCAGGGCGUAUUGUUUUUUCUAAGAUGUGUUUUAUCUCCCUAUUGGAAACUUCAACUUGUCCGCUUGUUUGGGGAUGGUACGGGGUGGCAACUUUGUGGGUGAUUGAAUACUUGCGAACCAAAGCCUCAAAAGACCGAUUGCAGAAAUGUGAUCCCCCAUCACUAAUGAUAGCUCGGGGUGUGCCAAAGCGACUAAAUAUAUUUGUUUGUAAAAACUUAACCACAACCUUAUGAUCAUUAGUCCUAGUGGCAACUGCUUCUACCCACUUCGAGACAUAGUCAACCCCGACAAGAAUGUACUCAAAAUCAAAAGAACAUGAGAAAGGACCCAUAAAGUCAAUACCCUAGACAUCAAAAAUUUCUAUAAUUAAAAUGGGGUUGAGUGGCAUCAUAUCUCUACGGGUGAUUGUACCCAUUCGCUGGCAUCGCUCACAAAUUCGACAAAAAUUGUGAGCAUUUUUGAACAAGGAGGGCCAAUAGAAUCCACUUUGUAAGACUUUAGCUGCAGUUUUUCUACCCCCAAAAUGUCCUCCGCAGGCUUGGGUAUGAUAAAAAUCAAGAAUACUCUGAAAUUCACAUUCAAGCACACAUCGACGGAUUACUUAAUCGGGACAGUACUUGAACAGAUCGGGGUCAUCCCAAAAGUAGAACUUAACUUGCGAAAAGAAUCGAUCCUUGUCCUGCUUGGACCAAUGAUCGGAAAUUUGUCCUAUGACAAGAUAGUUUACUAUGUUGGCAAACCAUGGUAUUUUUUCUUGUUGCACUUUAAACAAUUGUUCAUCUGGAAAGGAGUCAUGAAGUGGGGAAGUGCUAUGAGAAGGCUCGAGAAGGAUUCUAGACAAAUGGUCUGCUACAACAUUUGUGGUACCUUUCUUAUUACGAAUUUCUAGAUUGAAUUCCUGUAACAACAGGAUCCAUCGAAUUAGACGAGGCUUGGUGUCCUUCUUUGAAAGGAGGUACCGAAGAGCAGAAUGAUCAGUGAAUACAAUAAUCUUGGAUCCUAAGAGAUAGGAUCGAAACUUGUCCAAAGCAAACACUAUAGCUAGUAAUUCUUUCUCAGUAGUGGUGUAGUUCAAUUGCGCAUCUGAGAGUGUCUUACUAGCGUAGUAGAUGACAUGAGGUAACUUCUCUAGCCGUUGCCCUAAAACCGCCCCAAUGGCAUAGUUAGAAGCAUCACACAUGAGUUCAAAUGGAAGGUCCAAUUGGGAGGUUGUAUGACAGGUGUUGUAGACAACUUAGAUCGAAGUUUUUCAAAGGCCUCUUUACAUGCUUCAUCAAAGACAAAGGGUGUAUCCUUGGCAAGAAGAUUGCACAAGGGUCUAGAGAUUUUGCUGAAGUCUUUAAUGAAACGACAGUAAAAACCAGCAUGGCCUAGAAAAGAACGGAUUUGUUUCACAGAUUUGGGUGGAGGAAAAUUAGAAAUAAGAUCAACUUUUGCUUUAUCUACCUCAAUACCCCUUUUGGACACAAUGUGUCCCAAGACUAUACCCUCUUGAACCAUGAAAUGACUCUUUUCCCAACUCAGCACUAGAUUGGUCUCCUUACAUCUUUUCAGAACCAGGGCUAAAUUACUGAGAUAAUCAUCAAAUGAGGGGCUAAAACUAAAAAAUCAUCCAUGAAUACUUCCAGAAAUUUUUCUACCAUGUCAGAGAAAAUUGCCAUCAUGCAUCGUUGAAAUGUCGCGGAUGCAUUGCAGAGUCCAAAUGGCAUUCUUCUAUACGCAAAUGUCCCAAAUGGAUAUGUGAAAGUGGUUUUCUCUUGAUCAUCGGGAUACACGGCCAUUUGGUUAUAUCCUAAAUAACCAUCUAAGAAACAGUAGAAACCCUGACCGGCUAACCUUUCCAAUAUUUGGUCAAUAAAAGGCAAAAGAAAAUGGUCCUUCCUAGUCAUGGAGUUUAAGUUCCUGUAGUCAAUGCAAACACGCCAGCUAGUGGUCGUGCGUGUGGGCAUCAACUCUCCUUCUGCAUUUUCAACCACAGUAAUGCCCGACUUCUUUGGUACUAUUUGAGUCGGACUCACCCAGUUGCUAUCAGAGAUAGGAUAAAUGAUUACGGCAUCUAGUAACUUUACUACUUCUUUCUUGACCACCUCUUUCAUGUUAGGGUUGAGUCUCCUUUGCAUUUCACGAGUCGGUUUUGCAUCUUCUUCUAGGUGAGUGCGAUGCAUGCAAAUAGAUGGGUCAAUCCUCUUUAGGUCAGUGAAGGACCAUCCAAUUGCAUGUUUGUGUUCUCCGAGUAUACUCAAAAGUUGACUCUCCUGUUUGUUAGACAGAUCAGCCGCGAUAAUUACAGGUAGGGUAUCUUCGGAUCCUAGAAAAGCAUACUUAAGGUUACCGAAAGUGGAUUUAACUCAAGUUUGGGAGGAGACUCGAUGGAGGGGCACUGUGGCGCACUAGAAAGGGUAGGAAGAGGUUCAUAUCAGAUACGCCAAGGAUGAGAAUUUGUGAGAGACGGAUUGUCAAGUAGGACAUUGACUUCUUCUACGGCCUUGUUUAAAUCAAAAUUAUCAAUGUCAAAAUGGGCUAAACAUGCUUCCAAAGGGUCAUCUGCCAGAAUAUAGGGAAGGGCUUCUUCUAAAAGGUUGUUCAUUUUGUCUACUAGGAAGCACUCAUCUUUCCUUGCGGGUUGAUCAGAGGCGUGGAAUACAUUCAGUUUGACUUUCAUGUUUCCAAAGGAUAUAUCCAUCAUCCCAGUUCUACAGUUAAUACAUGCAUUGGCUGCAGCUAAGAAGGGACGACCAAGAAUCAUAGGGAUCUGUUUCUUGAGAUUAGGCACAGGUUCCAUAUCAAGGACGAUGAAAUCAACUGAAAAAUAAAAUUUAUCUACCUUGACUAGAACAUCUUCUAUUAUUCCUCGCGGUAUUUUAACAGAUCGAUCAGCCAAUUGCAGGGACACCGAAGUAGGCUUUAAUUCACCUAAUCUGAACUUCUCGUAGACUGAAUAAGGAAGGAGGUUAACACUUACCCCUAAAUCUAAUAGUGCUCGAUCAAUAGAAUUGUCUCCUACCACACAAGAGAUGGUAGGUGCACCAGGAUCCUUGAACUUAGGAGGAAUUUUGUGUUGGAGGAUGGAGCUCACUUGUUCAGCUAGGAAGACCUUUUUAGGCACAUGUGUCCUAGAUUUUCGUUUCUGGGUACAAAGGUCUUUGAAAAAAUUUGGCAUACGAUGGAACUUGUUUUAUGGCAUCAAGGAGAGGGAGGUUGAUUUUGACUUGUUUGAAUACCUCUAUUAUUUCUUCCAACGAAGUUCCUUUCUUGCCAAAGGAAGAAGGUGCAUUCAGACACUGAGGGAAAGGAGCCUUCGGUGUAAAAGGUGUGGUCGAUACUGGACUAGAUGGCGACAAAGACGAGUUUGGGUUCUCUUUAGGCACAGUCAUACUCCUGUCUUCAUUUUCUUUAUGUUCUUUUUCUCCAACCUUAUUGUCCACUACGCUUCCGCUUCUUAAGGUAGUCAUGGCAUUAGCUUGUUCAUGGUGAACAUCAUUCGGGUGAGUCUCUUGAGCCAUGUACUGCCCUCUCGGGUUACUGACUGGUUGGCUUGGAAGCUUGCCUUCCUCUCUUUUAUUUAGUGCACUCGCUAGCUGCCCUAGCUGGGUUUCUAAUUUGGCAAUAGACUGGGUAUGGAAGUGCAACAAUUGUGUAUUGGCUUCGAGUCCUUGAAGGGCAGUCAAAACUUUUUGCUCAAAAGCCAUAUCUUUUUGGGAUGCUGGAGGAGGGACAUGUUGAAAUUGUGAAUAGUGAGUAGGAGGACGGUUCGGAUGAACAUUCUGGAACGGUUGAAAGUUUUGGGAAUAAGGCUGGGAGGUAUUGAAAGUCUGCUGCUUCCAAGAUAAAUUUGGAUGGUUGCGCCACCCCGAGUUUUAAGUGUUAGAAUACAGAUCAUUAUCCGGUUGGGACUGUGCUUGGGCAGCAUUAACUUGUUCUUGCACAAAUUCAGAAAAUUGAGCUGCCGAAGGGCAUUCAUGAAUAGGGUGAGACGGGCUAGAACAAAGAGCACAAACUUGUGCUUGGGGAAAGUUUAGAAGCUAUUCUCUAGACAUUAGCUGGUCCAACUUGCGGGAUAGUGCAUCUACUUGUCAGAUAGACCUGUGGACUGGUUAACUUCAUAUAUGGUUCCUUUUCUUUGAGAACUCGGGGGUGCUUGACGAGCGGAGGCGGCAUGGUGGAGGAAAUUUUCAUUAAGGUUUUCAAACAAUUACCAUGCCUCAUGGUCACUUUUAAGCAUGAAAGUUCCCCCGCAUGCGGCAUCGAUCAUCUGACGGUUUCGUUCAGUCAAUUCGUCAUAGAAACAUUGCACUAGCUGCCAUUUAGGUAUUUGAUGAUGCAGGCAUUUUCGGAGUAAAUCUCUAAAUUUUUCCCAAGUUUCAUGAAAUUCUUUUCCGUCAGAUUAGGAGAAGCUCGUGAUAGCACGCCUAAAUUGGUUUGUUCUUCCUAUGGAAAAAUAUUUCUUCAGAAAUUCAUGUUGCAUUUGAGCCCAUGAAAGAAUGGAAUUAGCUUCUAAUGAAUGGAGCCACUGUUUAGCUCUGUCCUUAAGGGAGAAAGGGAACAACCUAAGUUUCAGAGCAUCAUCAGUGAAGUUCUGAAUUUUGACAGUGGUGCAAAUCUCAAGGAACUCAUCUAAAUGUUUGUAUGGGUCUUCAUUAUUGAGUCCAUAAAAAGAGGAAAGCAUUUGGAUGACACUAGACUUAAUUUCAAAUUAUACAGUCGCAGUGGUAUCAGGUAGUCGAAUACAAGAUGGAGAGGUAUAAAUGGAAGGAGUAAAGUACUCCUUUAACAGCUUGGGUUGCUCUUCAGCCAUCUCGAUAGGUGGGGCAGAUCCUAUGGUUCUAUAGGUGCGGAUUUCGGCUCGAAGGGUCCUAAUAGAACGCUCUAUUUUAGGGUCAAAAGGUAUUAAUUUCGGAGAUCUGGAACGAUACCCUAGCAUGCACUAAAACUCUUCUGAUCAGUCAAGCAUGCAUUAAAAGAAUAACACAUCAAAUCCUUGUAUUUGCCCUAAAAUCACUAGAUAGCUCCUAACUGGUUUGAAGAGGGCACCUAAGCCUCCAAUCCGGUCUAAUGAACUGAGUUGACCAGAUAAGCUCCCAGGUAAGUGGGGGGGUCACGAUGCGUUGCAAAGGUCCCACUUAAAAACCACUUGCCUCGAACAGAUGAACUGUCUCCCUUAUAGGGACAAAGCUUGCCUAGACAUCAACUGAGCCACAGAGAGAAAUUGGUGUAACUUUCGGUGAUUUUCGUCCUAUUGAGCUCGAAUGUCCCUAGGGGCCAACGUCUAAUUAAUUUUAAUUAAGGUAAUAGCUAUGUGANNNNNNNNNNNNNNNNNNNNUAGGGACAAAGCUUGCCUAGACAUCAACUGAGCCACAGAGAGAAAUUGGUGUAACUUUCGGUGAUUUUCGUCCUAUUGAGCUCGAAUGUCCCUAGGGGCCAACGUCUAAUUAAUUUUAAUUAAGGUAAUAGCUAUGUGAGAAUUGAUUCACCUAAUUUGGGCAAGAAUCUGGUGAUAAAAUCCAGUUCUUAUCUUGUUAGGAUGAUUGCCCUUACUAUGUGCGGAUUAAUUGGUGUAUGUGUAUCAAGCAUGCAUUCACACUUUUGCUGAAAUUAAAAUCAAACAAUCAUCACAAAAUUUCAAGCAAACUGGGAAUCAAUUUAAAUAAGAAAGGUUUAGAGGUUACUAAAGAGAAUUUUCCCAGCGAUUUUUUUUUUAUUUUUAUGCAAACCUCUACAACAUUCCUUUUCCAGCAGUUUCCUUUUUGAUCGUUCCAGAUUUUCUCUUCGAUUCGUGAUCAAAUAAUGCAAAGAGGAAAACCAAAAAUUAGUAAGAGAGAAAAAGAGAUAAGGAAAGUAGAAAAUAUUUUUACUUUAUUUUAGAUAUAUAUAUUUUUUUGAAAAUUUUUUUUUAAUGAAAAGAAAAACAACUAUGCUAGAGAGGAGAUCAGCCUUCCAUGGAGUCGUGGGCGACAGCAGCACUGGCACAGCAGCGGGCUCCCAUUUCUUCUUUUCUUCCUCCCUUCCCUGGAUCUCUCCUUCCUUCUCUAGCAAUUCAUUAUUUUUUUCUUUUGAGAAGGCAUUCCCAAAAAGACCCAAACUUCUCUCCCUCCUCUGUUUCUGUGGGAUUUGGCCUAUGAGCUCCCCAGCUUCCUUUCCGAAGAGGAGAAAUCUCCUUCUUUUAUAGCCUCUGUCGACCCCUGUUAUCUCAUCACGUCGUGGGAAGAUAAGGGCCAAGAAACUAACAAGGGCGAGACGCGUAGCAGAUUUAAUCCGAGCGUUGGGAUUAUAGUCUGGAAAUUGAUUUCGUUGAAGAAGUCGGUUGCUCCCUUGGAUGCAGAGGAUGGCGAAGACGUGGAUGUUGAGAGGAUCUCGGACGCUGCUAGCUCAUGGGAUGAGUGGAAGAAAUCGCCACUUCUUCAACGCGUGGGAGGAGAUCUUGGACGCGGCUGGCAGCUGGGAGUUGACCGCGGAUGAGAUGAAGGCUGGCUUGGGCUUAUCCGUGGGUGAUGGAAAGCUAGAUUCGGUUGGGAACAGGGGAGCUGGAAUGGAUGCGGAUGGAAUGCGGAGAUGGUUGAAUGCUGUCACUGGGUUGAAUCACGGGAGGGGUUUGGAUUCGGCUGGGAUUUUUUUCGAAAUAGGGGAGGCGCACGUGAAGCUCGGAUGCUGGGAACAAACACGUAGGUUGGCUUGAUCCGAGGAUACAGAUGAUGGCGUGGAUGUUGAGAAUAUCCUGGUUCUGUUCCCAUGGCUGGGGUCAAUCCGAAUGCUGGGAAGGCGUUGGAUUUGGUUCGGAAGAAGAUAAGGAUGAUAGUUUCGAAGCAGGGGAUGGUUGGGAGUUAAUCCGGAAGGGGAGUUCUAAUCCGUGGAUGCUAGAGAUCAAGCUGGUUUGGAUUUGGAAGAGAAAAUAUGGAAUACAUGCUGUGACACAAGUGGAUCUCAUCCGGAAGUUGGGGAAGAUGGAAUGAACGAGCUGGCUCUGUUUUGCAAGUUGGGAUGUUGGGAUCUCUUGCAUGCAUCACGGGAGGAUUGGGCAUGGCGGACGGCUGGGAGGCUUGGGAUUUGAAGGUUGGCAGUUGAGAUAUAACGGAGCAGGGGAUGCGGAAGGGAGUGAUCGAAAUAUGAAGCUUGGGACUCGGCUUGAUUCGAACGGGUGAAGAAAUCAGGGGAGAGAA